Molecule: unclassified non-coding RNA, 424 nt
Filed under: soil metagenome
Description: partial contains 5.8S ribosomal RNA, internal transcribed spacer 2, and large subunit ribosomal RNA
Rfam family: 5.8S ribosomal RNA (bases 1-120)
Source: RNAcentral
GAUGAAGAACGCAGCGAAAUGCGAUAAGUAGUGUGAAUUGCAGAAUUCCGUGAAUCAUCGAAUCUUUGAACGCACAUUGCGCCUUCUGGUAUUCCGGAAGGCAUGCCUGUUCGAGAGUCAUUAACAACCGUUUCGAUCCCUUUCUUUCAGAAAUUACAAAGAGGAAAAGGGUUUGGUUAUGGUGGAGGAGGGAAAGGGAGCGUUUAGCCUGUAAAAAAAGAGGCUGUGUUCCGCCUCCCCCCCAAAAUUUACAGGCGGUCGUGUGCGCCCACGCAUCGAGGUGUUGUAAAAGCUGCCACGGCACUUUUCACCUGUGCAGUGCGAGAUUGGCCAGCCGGUUUAAAAACCCCUCCAAACAAUCAAAGGUUGACCUCGGAUCAGGUAGGGAUACCCGCUGAACUUAAGCAUAUCAAUAAGCGGAGGA